GACGAACGCUGGCGGCGUGCUUAACACAUGCAAGUCGAACGGAAAGGCCCUGCUUUUGUGGGGUGCUCGAGUGGCGAACGGGUGAGUAACACGAGAGUAACCUGCCCUUGACUUUGGGAUAACUUCAGGAAACUGGGGAUAAUACCGGAUAGGAGCUCCUGCUGCGUGGUGGGGGGUGGAAAGUUUCGGCGGUUGGGGAUGGACUCGCGGCUUAUCAGCUUGUUGGUGGGGUAGUGGCUUACCAAGGCUUUGACGGGUAGCCGGCCUGAGAGGGUGACCGGCCACAUUGGGACUGAGAUACGGCCCAGACUCCUACGGGAGGCAGCAGUGGGGAAUAUUGCACAAUGGGCGGAAGCCUGAUGCAGCGACGCCGCGUGCGGGAUGACGGCCUUCGGGUUGUAAACCGCUUUCACCUGUGACGAAGCGUGAGUGACGGUAAUGGGUAAAGAAGCACCGGCUAACUACGUG
RNAcentral lists this ribosomal RNA (468 nucleotides) under uncultured bacterium. RNAcentral's name for it is "partial 16S ribosomal RNA". It matches the Rfam family "Bacterial small subunit ribosomal RNA", at positions 28 to 507 of the family's 1533-position model. The record is from RNAcentral.